AAAGAUUAAGCCAUGCAUGUCUAAGUACAUGUGUAAUUUAACACGAAACCGCGUAUGGCUCAUUAUAACAGCUAAAAUUUACUUGAUUUUGACUUUUAUCCUACAUGGAUAACUGUGGUAAUUCUGGAGCUAAUACAUGCAUAAAAGAUAUAACAUUGAUAUGUUAUAUUGCGUAUAUUAGUAUUAAAACCAAGCAUUCUUCGGAAUGUUUUGUGUUGAAACUGAAUAUAUCAUGCUGAUCGUAUGGUCCUGUACCGACGACAUGUCAUUCAAGUGUCUGAUCUAUCAACUUUCUAUAUAAGUAUAUAGUACUUAUAUGGUUUUGACGGAUAACGGGGUAUUAGGGUACGACUCCGGAGAAAAUGCCUGAGAAACGGCGUUUACAUCCAAGGAAGGCAGCAGGCGCGAAAAUUACCCACUCUCAGUACGAGGAGGUAGUGACGAGAAAUGACAAGAUCUAUUCCUUCGGGGAUGGAUCAUUGGGAUGGUUUGAUUUUAAAAUCAUUAAAGAGUAUCAAUGAGAGGGCAAGUCUGGUGCCAGCAGCCGCGGUAAUUCCAGCUCUCAUACUGCAUUGAAUUGCUGUUGCGGUUAAAAAGCUCGUAGUUGGAUCUGUACAUGAUAGGUUAGUUCAUCCUUUGGAUUGUAACUAAUACUAAAUGUUUUUUAUUAGAUUUUUUAUUUUUUUACGAAAAUAAAUGUCUAAUGAGUUUACUUUGAAUAAAUCAGGGUGCUCAAAACAGGCGUAAGCUUGUAUGGUUUUGCAUGGAAUAAUAGAACAUGACUAUGGUUCAUGUUUUAUUGGUUUUACUUACCAUAGUAAUGAUUAAAAGGAACAAACGGGGGCAUCCGUAUCGCAGGGCGAGAGGUGAAAUUCGUGGACCCCUGCGAGACGAACUACAGCGAAAGCAUUUGCCAAGAAUG
Molecule: ribosomal RNA, 922 nt
Filed under: Panagrolaimus subelongatus
Lineage: Eukaryota; Metazoa; Nematoda; Chromadorea; Rhabditida; Panagrolaimidae
Description: SSU rRNA
Rfam family: Eukaryotic small subunit ribosomal RNA
Source: RNAcentral